This 325-nucleotide ribosomal RNA is filed under the name uncultured bacterium. Its description in RNAcentral is "bacterial SSU rRNA". It matches the Rfam family "Bacterial small subunit ribosomal RNA", at positions 29 to 334 of the family's 1533-position model. The record is from RNAcentral.
AACGAACGUUGGCGGCGUGGAUGAGGCAUGCAAGUCGAGCGAGAAAACUCCCUUCGGGGGGCGAGUAAAGCGGCGGACGGGUGAGUAACACGUAAUCAAGCUACCCCCAAGACCGGGACAACAGCGGGAAACUGCUGCUAAUACCGGAUGGUCCUCGGAGAUCUCAUGAUCUCUUAGGUAAACGGUUGGGAUCCUUCGGGACCUUCUGCUUGGGGAGGCGAUUGCGGCUUAUCAGCUUGUUGGUGAGGUAAUGGCUCACCAAGGCUACGACGGGUAGCAGGCCUGAGAGGGUGGUCUGUCACACUGGGACUGAGACACUGCCCAG